Onychomys torridus (southern grasshopper mouse) is the source of this 1935-nucleotide non-coding RNA. NCBI's taxonomy places the organism in Eukaryota, Metazoa, Chordata, Mammalia, Rodentia, Cricetidae. The record is from the annotation of a RefSeq genome assembly.
AUGGUAUUGCCAACCAUGAAGAGUGCUGACAGUGGCGCUGUAGCACACGCUGAGCAGGAAGAGGCUGAUGAAGAUGCUGAUGGUUGCACAGAGCCCAUCCAGCUCCCUGUCCUGGGCCUCAGCACAGGUCUUGUCCAGUUCCAUCUCUGCACAGAAAAGGAGAAGCCAGUGUUUGCAGUAACAAGAUCCCUGAGCUCUCAACAAUCCCAGUGCCCCAGCCUUGUCUUUGUCCUGAAAGCUGCGUCUUCUCAAUCAUGCAUGGGCAGGAAGUGGGGUGGCAUUCGCAUCUCUGGGAAAGACAAGAGAAGGCCAGGACCAAAACAGGAAGAGAAGGAGUUGCUUUCAAGGCUUCCACAAAGGAGUGGGUUCAGCAGAGAAAGGAGCUGCUGCGAAGGGAGAGGACCAGAGACUGGGGGCAUCCGUGGCCCUUCUGGGUCUUUGAGUCAUCAUAUCACAGGAGACUGGGAAGGAGCUGACAGACCAACCCUGACAGAAGAAGCCUGUGUGUUGAAGAGAAAGAUUCCUGCCUGCAGCCUGGUGUCAACCAAGCAGCCUCUGGGAGCCCAUGGACGGAAGCACAACAAGCAACUAGAACUGCCCACACCCACAGACAGAGCGGCCUGUGGAAGCCUCCAAGAGGCGAUAGGAUGUGGCAGAAAGCCUGAGGGAUGGGUUUGGCCUGGACUACAGGUUGACAGAGCCCAGGCAGCUGAGCCAGUGAGGAAAGGAGAGCCAACAGAUGCAGAGGCCUGUGCCACAACAACAGCCCCAUCUGUCUAUCCACUGGCUCCUGGAUCUGGAGGCACAUCUGGCUCCACAGUGACCCUGGGAUGCCUGGUCAAGGGCUAUUUCCCUGAGCCGGCAACUGUAACCUGGAACUCUGGAUCCCUGACCAGCGGUGUGCACAUCUUCCCAUCUGUCCUGCAUUCUGGUCUCUACUCCCUCAGCAGCUCAGUGACUGUGUCCUCCAGCACCUGGCCCAGCCAGCCGGUCAUCUGCAACGUAGCCCAUCCGGCCAGCAACACCAAGGUGGACAAGAAAGUUGUGCCCAGAGUUGGCUGUUCCAAGCCUUCGUCAUGUCCAGGCCCAGAAGUAUCAUCCGUCUUCAUCUUCCCACCAAAGCCCAAGGACCUGCUCACAAUUUCUCUGAGUCCCAAGGUCACGUGUGUAGUGGUGGACAUUAGCCAGGAUGAUCCGGAGGUCCAGUUCAGCUGGUUUGUAGAUGACACGGAAGUGCAUACAGCUCAGACGAAACCCCGGGAGGAGCAGUUCAACAGCACCUUCCGAGUAGUCAGUGUCCUUCCCAUCGUGCACCAGGACUGGCUGAAUGGCAAGGAGUUCAAAUGCAAGGUCAACAGCAUAGCCUUCCCUGCCCCCAUCGAGAAAACCAUCUCCAAGAAGAAAGGGCAAAUUCAGACUCCACAGGUAUACCUCCUACCCCCGCCCAAGGAGCAGAUGACCAAGAAUAGAGUCUCUCUCACCUGCAUGAUAACAGGCUUCUACCCUGAUGAAAUUUAUGUGGAAUGGCAGAAGAAUGGACAGCCAGUGCAGAACUACAAGAACACUCAGCCCGUCUUGGACGAGGAUGAGACUUACUUCCUCUACAGCAAGCUCAAUGUGCAGAAGAUCGAUUGGGAAGCACAAAAUACUUUCACCUGCUCUGUGGUACACGAAGCCCUGCACAAUCACCACACAGAGAAGACUCUCUCCCACUCUCCUGAGCUAGAACUGGAUGACAACUGUGCUGAGGCCCAGGAUGGGGAGCUGGAUGGGCUGUGGACGACCAUCACCAUCUUCAUCACCCUCUUCCUGCUCAGCGUGUGCUACAGCGCCACUGUCACACUCUACAAGGUAAAGUGGAUCUUCUCCUCCGUGGUGGAGCUGAAGCAGACACUGGCUCCUGACUACAGGAACAUGAUUGGACAAGGGCCUUAG